GGUGGCUCAGUGGUAGAGUGAUUGCCUUUCAUGCAUGAGACCCUGGGUUCAAUUCCUAAGCACCA
Dipodomys ordii (Ord's kangaroo rat) is the source of this 65-nucleotide non-coding RNA. The record is from Rfam. NCBI's taxonomy places the organism in Eukaryota, Metazoa, Chordata, Mammalia, Rodentia, Heteromyidae.